Molecule: ribosomal RNA, 253 nt
Filed under: uncultured bacterium
Lineage: Bacteria
Description: partial 16S ribosomal RNA
Rfam family: Bacterial small subunit ribosomal RNA
Source: RNAcentral
UACGUAGGGGGCAAGCGUUGUCCGGAAUUAUUGGGCGUAAAGAGCGUGUAGGCGGCCAGAUAAGUCCGCUGUGAAAUCUCGAGGCUCAACUUCGAGCUGUCGGUGGAAACUAUCUGGCUAGAGUCCGGAAGAGGAGAAUGGAAUUCCUGGUGUAGCGGUGAAAUGCGCAGAUAUCAGGAGGAACACCUAUUGCGAAGGCAGCUCGCUGGGACGUAACUGACGCUGAGACGCGAAAGCGUGGGGAGCAAACAGG